AGAAGAGCGUCGAUCUGUCGGCCGACAGCAGCCCGGCCGCUCAGAAUGGAGAGAAGGUGAAGAAGAAGAAACUGGACAAGGACAAAGAAUCAACAGAGAAGGAGAAGGAAAU
This is a long non-coding RNA of Sinocyclocheilus rhinocerous, 112 nucleotides long. RefSeq lists it as uncharacterized. The transcript is spliced from 2 exons. NCBI's taxonomy places the organism in Eukaryota, Metazoa, Chordata, Actinopteri, Cypriniformes, Cyprinidae. The record is from RefSeq and is a predicted model, not a curated record.